This is a long non-coding RNA of Bos indicus x Bos taurus (hybrid cattle), 1119 nucleotides long. The record is from Ensembl. Lineage: Eukaryota; Metazoa; Chordata; Mammalia; Artiodactyla; Bovidae.
AGUUGGAGAAAAAAAAAGACACUCACCCAAUGGGAAAUACCUUAUGAUCAAGUGUGAGGUGGUGUGUCUCGACUGUAUAGCAAAGAAGGGCAGAAUAAGAAGAGCCAUCAUUUGUUAAGGGCUUAAUAUGUGCCAAGAGUUGUCUACACACCAUCUCUAAUAGUCCUUAUGGUCAGAUCAGGAUGGGUUCUCCAUGGAACAGGUCAAGUUUACUCAGGAGUUUGAAGCUUUGAUUGACAUCAAACUUUCCAAUUGUAAACAAGGACCAUGGUUUUAAGCUAACAUUGACCUAAUCUUGUUAUUCCUGACCUUUUUCAAUCUAUGUCAGCAUAAACUAAUUUGUUUUUUUACCAAAUGUAAUCUUUUCCUGAACAGAAAUAACUUUAUAAGGUGAAAAGAAAGCUUUAUUUUUUCUUUCUGUCUACCUUCAACUCUAUAGAAUGGACUAGUUCUUCACCUUUUAAAUGAUUUCCAUGGUGGGUCUCAUAGAUUUUCCAAUCAUUAUUAAAAACAAAAACAUCCUUUGGUCACCUUUUGACACAAGAAGUGUCACUUAAUUAUUCUGAAUCUCCAGGCCAUGCAUAAUCUCACAACUGCAUAGUCUUACCUUAUUUGAAGCUUAUCCUCAGUGUUGAGAGUGUUUCAGGCUGAGAGACUUGCAGUGUUUGGGUUCUCCUUUGUUUCUUUCUCAUUUUAUUGCUUCCUCACGCAGUGUGCAAGCUCUGGGGUCUGAUCCUCCAGGGAUGGACCACUGUUAAAAGGAUUGGAGAAAAAGACUCAGGUUUACAUGGCCACUGUUGUGACAAUCUGGAACUGACAGUCUGGGGACUCUGAUAUUUAAAGAAGGCUCUUUAGAUUCUUCUGCCUGGAAUUUCCAACUACAGUAUUCAAAUAUUGUCCUUUUUCCUGAGUGACCACUGAGGACUUCAACCAACACUUAGUCGUAGACAUCAGAUUUCACCCCACCAAGAUCCUUUCUGUUGAAACCCCAGUGCCUUUUCAAGUGGCUUUCUCCUUCAGGUGUAUCUCUUGGAAUUCUAUAAACCUGAAGACUAAUCUUUUAGAAAAAUCAUCAGAAGGAGGGAAUUUGUGGAAAUAAAACUGGAAACAUUCAGAAUC